UUUAUAUUGCUGCCUUUGAACCUCUGUGUUCACAAGUUAAGGUUUUAUUUUACUCAGUUGCUGAGACAUGGAAUUCUGAUUUGGACAAUAAGCCACAUUCUCAGUUCACAUAAAUCAGCCAAGCUCCAUUAAAAUAAAGCUCUAGAUCUGGGUCAAAUUAAGAAUUUGAGAUUGGCUAAAGGUCUAUAUCUAGCACAACAUUCCCCUGCCAUGAGAGAUAAAAGCUGAAUGCUGAGGUCCUGCAGAAGGGCUCAAGUUGAAUGGAAUCAUGGAAACAGUGAAUAUGGGCUGAGAGACUGAAUCUUCCUCCCAUCUGGGAGCAGCUCUGGCGUGUGUUUUCCCAUGUGAGAGUCUGGAGAAGUGGGUUACGUGGGCAGGGAUGAAUGGGAGAGAUUUUCUCAUCGUUGUGUUUGCACUAAACCGUGAGGAGCACUUCUCCACAGGAUGUAAAAGUUUUGGCAUAUUCCUACAGAUCCUUCUUGUUUGUCCUUUCAGUGACCUUUCCCUCUCCUUUGCUGCUCUACAAACUAUUAAAGGUUCUACUGGAAAGUGGGCUGCAGAGUGAGACACAUUUUACAGGAUUUGGUUUAUAAGACCAGUUAGAGAGGUCUGAUUUUGGAAGAAGAUCACAAGCACAUGCUCUAAAACCAGUCUCUCACUUCCCCUAUAGUUCAAGACCUUACAGUAUUUUUUCUCUUCUGAAAAAAAUCUAUUAUCCGUUAGUGGCUGAUUCAUAUUUCUGUAAUUAGAGUCUUCUCCCAUCCCACAGCUCCUAAGCCAAGAUACUGACUGCUUUGUUUACACUUCCAUGAAGCUAAUAUUUGGAUGAUUUUACUGGAAUAUGAGUUUGACAAUUUCUGCUUGGAUUCCUCCUUAAUUUGUCACCUUGAGCAGAAAAAUUCCACAGUUAGUCUACCAGUUAGACUGCAUGAGAGACUAUCAAUGACAGGAUAAUGAUUUAAUUAUCAUUAUGAUAUGAUAUUAUGAUAUUAUGAUAUGAUAUUAUGAUUUAAUUUUCAAUACUGGGGAGUCAGGAAAUUUUAAAACUUAGCCUUCAGUUUUCCUGAAAUACAGGAAGAUAUAAGGGAAACUGUGAAUGAUUUUUAUUUAUCAAAAGUUGUAUCAAGGCCAUAUUUUCAUUCAUUUCUUUGUAAUUUCAGAAAUUGUAACUUAAAGGUGAAGCACCUUAACAUAAAGGUUUUGAUUAGGCAAGCACACAUAUUUUCAAUAUCACUCAGCUAAUUUAAAAUACUCUGGAAAAAGUUAACUAAAUAUGCAUCUAGGCUUUAAUUAAAGUAUCAAUGCAUGUGGGAUAUUCUUCACUACAGUCAAAGUAGUUUGGAAAAUUCUAACAUAGCAGAACCAGUCUCAUGACACUUGUAGAUAAUCUUUUCUAGCAUUAUUUAUUAAUCUAAUACAGUGUUACUACACUGCUUUUAAUGACUUUAUUUCUACUCUGCAAAAAACCCAACUAUAAUCUCUACAAUGAAGUAUGGAACCAGUUCUUUAAGAGAACUGAACUUUUAAUUAUCUUCAUUGUGUCUUCAAAAGUGUUAUUUUUUUUUUGGUCACAGUAUUGAUUAGUUAUGGCAUAGCAACUAAAGAUGAAUUCAUUAAACUCACUCCUGAGCUACCAGUAACACAGUUUAAGCAAAGAGAGUCAAACUGGUAACUGAAGAUGUGCAUGACAAUAAGAUUCAAGAAUUCAUUAGCUACAUUCCCAUAGGAAGUCUUUGCUAAAAAUUACAUGUAUCAAAAAAAGUAAUAAAUGUACAUGAAAAAGUAUCAAAGGCAUUAUGAAAAAAUGGAAGACUGCAGAAUUAAAGUUUUCAAUAAUAGACCUAUUUUCCAUUUCUUAGGUACCUUUAUUACUUUACUACAGAUCAGAAAUUCUUCAAGUUUUUAUUUUUUUUUGCAAACAUAUAAUUCAUGUUAAGAUUUUAGCCCAUUUUUAUUUUGCUUAAAGUGACUGAAGAAUUUAUUUUCAUACAAUACAAGGAGGAUUGGGAUACCGUGGAAGACACAUUAAACAGAGAUAAUUACUUGUUAGACCUCAUGGAAUAAAGUACUGAAGUUAAAAUCUUUGAGUUCCCCAGAUCCAUAGGUUCAGUGAGCCAAGCAUAAGUAUCUCAGAUAUGCUCACAAUCUUGGCAAACAUCUGAAUUCAGGCAUAAGAAAGAAGAAUCUGUUAAUUUUUACUAUUGUGUUUAGUUUCUGUGCCCUGUAUUUACAGGGUAUGGUGGAAUACCAAUGUUUGAUAUAAACCACAUCUUCAGGCACUACUUCUGAGUAAGUGGUGGAAAACAAAAUGGGUUAAAUUCAUCCAACAGAACUUCAGAAACCAACCUGAAGCUAUUUUCUUCCUUUCAAAUUCCCAGUCUACUAAGUUGUAGCUCUUUUCUGGGUGGAGUAAAGUAUAAUUUUUCAUUUGGUCCAUACUCUUUUGCACAUUAAAACAUGUUCAUUCUUUAAAUUCAUCUUUCAUGAAUGAAAACAAUCUAAUAAAAUCUCUGGAAUAAAGCACCAAGCAAAUAAAUUUUCAUUAUUGUAGAGGCUUAAAUCAUGACUUAGAACUACGUUUAUGUAUUUAUAAUUGAACUUAUUAAAAAAUCUUGUAACAUUUCACACAUCCUUUUCCAAAGAACAUAUAAAUUUGGCUCAAUCCCAAGAGCCUACUCUUGGAUGGAAUUCUUUAUUAUUAUAGAGUCCAGCAGAAAAGCACAAAGUCUCUGCAGUUUAGAUUUGACAACAAUUUUGCAAUUCUUGGAUUGCCAUUGUCUUUAUACCUUAAGAAACCUGUGGCAGCCAAGGAUCUCAGAAGUGGCAUUUAAUAAAACAAAGGCGUAAUAUGUGCCGCUGGCAUAAAAUUGGCAGUAGGAAGUACCAAGAUGAUGGCAAAGUCUCUUUGAGUUCACAAGUCAGAGUUUCCCAGGAUAAGUGCUUUAAUGGGACAGUGGAUGAAGGUGAAGUCAUGAACAACAAAUUCUGUAAAAACAGUGUCACUUCAUAGAUCCUCUUGUACAGGAAUACAUGAUGUAAAUAUGGGAUGUGCAAAGAAUUUGAAAACAAGCAGCUGGGACUUCACACUAUCACAAUGGAGAGGGUUUCAAACAUCAGCCUUCUUUUGAAGAGAUCUGGAUGUAUAUAAUUUGCCUUUAAUGGCAAAUUGGAAAGAGCUAAAUGUACUACUGAGGGCAGGAUCAGAAUUCAAGUCUCUUUGAGGAAGGAAACUUGUGCUAAGGGCCUGUGCUAUGGAAAAUAGAUGUGGAAUAGGGAAGAGUUGACUGGGUAACAGAGGUGGAUGGGCGAUUGUGAUGGGUGACAAGUCAGACAUUAAUAAACAUUUUGGCUGUAGUACGAAAAUGGCAAGCUUCAAAUCAGUAGAAGUGUCAAGGACAACAAAGACAAAUUUAUUCUCUGUCUAGCAAGAUCUUGGGACUGUAUCCAGUUCAGACACAACUCAAAGCAAGAAACAUGUUGACAAAUUAGAGUACAAAGAGGAACAAUAAAACCGAUAAGUUUAGAAAAUAUGAACUUUGUGGAAGGAGCAAUGUUUGUUUAGUCUAGAACAGACUGAGGGCAGAUAUAACAGGCUUGACAAUGUAAAAGCCUUUUACAAAGAGGAUGGCUUCUCUCAUCUGCAGGGGAAAGGAAAACAAUUUAUACUGUAUAUUUUCAUAAUAGAAGGAAUACUUAAUUAAAAUACCAAGUUCUAUCACAUACGGAGGGUCUUGUUCAUUGCACUUUAAAAAAACAAAUUAGAUAAAUGUUUUUUAAAAUAUUUGGUGUCCUGGCUGUAGGUAUUUCUGCCUCAGGGCACCAGGGUUGCACUAGAUCCCUAGGGAUCCUUCCGAUCCUUUGCAUUUACAUGCUUUCAGGAAUUAAUUUGACAAAAUAGAACAGCUUUAGCUGGAGGGAUCAAAAGCCUUCCAUCUGUAAAUGCCCCAGACUGUAGUGGAUAGAAGCCAAAGGAGAUGGUGAUUCAGACUCUUUCAUGUCUAGUUGUCCAAUCACUAACUAAAAAGGCAUUAUUUCACUUGGUUGUGCUCUGUAGGAAUAAACCAUGCUUACAUCACUAGAGCAAGAGAUAGGAGAAACCUGUUUUCUUUCAGAAUUUUUAGGCUAUAGCCAUAUCUUUGGCACUGUCAGUGCUAAUGUGGUUGUGAUCAGUGACAAAGCUGUAAAUGUCAUGGGAUUUAAUCAGGUUGAAGAGUUCAGGAGAGAAUUUGAAUGGUGGUUAUACCAAAUCACUGGAUAGAUGCUUAGUAAGGAAUGAUGUAUGCUGCAGUGACUGAGUGGGCUUUGGUAAACCCAAGCUAAACAAUAAAAAAAUCUUUUUGGAAGAUUUAACUUUUUAAUUGUAUUAUUCUUGUGCUCAGACAAGCUUAGUGCUUGUGAAUGAAAGUAGAUAUGACAGCAAAAGAGACAGGCAUAAUUUCUUCCUCUGUACAGGCACAGCACAAGCACAGCAUGAAAUACAUGAUGCUAAAAGGCUUUCUCAGUUUAUGGGAGGAUAGUUUAGUCUCCAGGCUGAUGCAGAAACAAUUACUUACCAAGGCUGAUGAUUCUGCUGUGGGUGCCUGUUCACUGGGAAAUGAGACUGAGAGAGGAGCGUAGGCUAAUGAACAGCUGUCACUAAUAUCUUGGACUAUAAAGCCAUAAUUUAGAACAGAAAUGUUACAUCAAUUGCAUGUUACUGGUCUGUUCAGAAAUUCAUUUCCACUACUAAAACAUUUUUAUAGGCAGAAUUGUUUCAUAUGCACAUUUUUAUUUCAGCUGAAUGUAAGACUCCCUAAUGGUAACUGAAAAAUGAAGCUACUUUCAAAAUUUUACAGUAUUUAUCAAGAAGAAUCAGAUGAAAUAGUGGGUGAAGCAUGACACAACCUUUUCCAGUAAUUUUUUCUUGUUAUUUGUUUCUUCUGGCUUAUAUCAGUUUUCUGUCCACUGCCCUCAGUGAAAAUACUUUGAAGUACUAUUGUGUGAGUUAGACAGAUGAAUGCAGAUAUACAGCACCUGACACCAAAGCUCCAGAACUCCAAACUCAUGUUUAUCAGCUGCUUAAAGCCAUCUGAAACCCAUAGAUACUUAUAAUUUUGGCCACUAGAUUCUCUUGACUGAUGUUCUUCCUGUGAUAUAACCUUAGUUUCUAUAUCAUGAAUAGCUCAAACCUCAAAUCUAAGUCCUAUCAGAAUCUGCUAAGAUAAUCCUUUGUUUAUUUUGAUUCACAGCCCAAUCCAGAAAGCAGUUUCAAACUUUCUUAACAAAACAGUCUUUUAAAAAGAGGAACAGCAACAGGUUGCCCUCCUUAAUCAUCAGACACUUUUAAUUUUGGGGAAAAGGUAAUAGAAAAUGGAGAAAGUUGUAAUAGAAUGUUCCGAACAGGUCAAUAAGACUGUGAAAUCACACAGGGCCUCUCUGGCUUUGUGGUUUCCCACAAACUGAUGGAUACCAUUACUGAACAUGUUAGUAUUAGUCUGAAGACCCCAGAUAAUCAUAUGUGGGCUUUGCAGCUCCAAAAGCAGGUCCUGCUUGGAAUAAAAGUUUUCUUUUGGAAGUCCCACCUGUAAAACAAUGGGACAAUUUCCAUAUACCUACUUUUGCUGGGUCUCAGUUGUGUAUGAAGUAUAAUGAUCCCAGUGUUGGAAACUUCCAUUACACAUGCAAUUGACUUUGUUGAUUUUCCUAUAUUGGCCUUUCAGGUGUGGGCACUGUGGUUUGAAGUUGAUGAAAACUCAAGCAAGCACCCUGAAGACUAAGACAACUGCUUUUUCACAUGAAACAUUGUGGGAGAUUUCCUACACAAGGCAGCUCUUGGCUCCAAAUGGAAGAGGAGUAUGAAGCAGAAGUGAAAGAGCAGUCAGCUGAAGGAACCAUAACAACAGUGCUGGGCUCAAGACAUUUUCCCGUGAAAACAUCCAACAUAAUUUGAGAUGGACUUUGAAGGACUGAUGAGUAUUUGGACAGCAGAAUUCCAAGAAGUUGUGCAAUGUGAAGUUAUACUCAGAUUUUAAUUUCACCAUUUGUUUACAAAAAUAUUAGCGAAGAUAUUAGUAAUAUCAGUAUGUAAUUAUGUGUCACCCACAGUUUUACACAAUCUGCAAUACCUACUCUUCUAUUGUAGAUGAAAUUAGGCUUAUGAGACAAGGUAUGUUCUCAAUGAUAGUGUCUAUUUAUUACUUUAUGGUCUUCUGAAGGCUGAUAAACUGAUUUUAUUUUCACUGUAUUGUGAACUGCUCUUCUAGGUUUAUUCUAGCAGUUCAUUGAGAGCAUCCUAAGGCAAAACAUAUUGGCUCAGCCAAGUAGGAAACAUCUGAAAGUGACUCCUUUAACUCAUUACUUAGAAAUUAAUUCCCCUUUAAUGCACCCUAUCCUUUUUGAUGAGCAGGAUGUUGCAGGACAUGUAUAUUCACAGGGAUACAUCAGCUAGGAUUAAGUCUGUUGAAGUUCUAGGCAGUUGUUAAACAGCAAAGCAAUGCACAGAGCAGAAAGAAGCAAAAUCCCAUUUACAUUUAUGUUUUCCUUCAAUUUAUAGUAACCAUUUAUAACAAGAAAAAGGAGAUUCUAUGACUCACAACCAUUUCAAUGUGACUGCUGGUUCCACAAAUUUGAACCACACACACACACAAAUCUAUGAGCUAGAUGCAGUGUGGGCCUGGUAACAUCUCCUGUCUGAAGAACCCACAGAAGUUUGACUUGAAGGAGAUUCCUCUUUCUUACUUACCACACUCUCUUUAGAAGCCAGCAGGAGAUAAGGAUCAGUAGAUCAGUAUUUUUAGAGAACUACAAACUUUGGUAUUCUGCUGAGCAGUGACUCUGCCUUAGGUCUGCCGAGCCCCCUGAAGCCCCCUCAGCAGCCACCUGAGCUUGCACAGAGCAGCAAGGAGAGGGGGCUGCAAAGCAGGAAACCUGCACUCCUAGGUGGGUUUGAUCUUUACUGUCUUUUUGUUCUGCUAAAAACCAAAAGUUUCUAAAACUAUUUAAGAAAACAGACUUUUCUAGUGUAGAAAGAAUAUUUACCUGCAACACCAAAGCCAAGUCCCUGUUCUUGACCAGAAAGAUCAGAGAGUUGAAAUUGUCUCUCCUACAGCUCAGGAAAAAAGCCUGAAAUUUUGCUACUUGGAUUUCAUGGAGGGGAAAAACAAAGAGGACUUUUCUUUCCUUCUUUCCUUCUACAUUCUUCCCUCUUCAAACACAUAUUUUGACCUACCCAUGUCUCCUUAUAAAUAUCUUCACACAUCAAACAGCUCUUCAAAACACAAGUCACCUUGCUUUGUUCCUCUGGACACCUUUCAUUUUUUAUGAAUCAGUAUUUUCCAAUAAAAAAACAGAUUCUUAUUUUGUUCCCAAAAACCUGCUCAAAAAUACACUUAUCUUUUGACUGCAGAAUAACUUAAAAGUAAAGUUUGAGAUAUAAUUCCCUCUUCCACAACUACAAAAAGACUGUGGCAAAAUUUAUAGAUUAUGAUUUGUAGGCCAGUCCUGUUAUUAACAGUCUCAAUUUCCUCUCCUUAAACAUACUAACACAAACUGUUCUUUUGGCUGAAAAGGGAGUGAAGAACAGAGCAGGCUGUGGCAUUUCCUUCAGGUCAUCCUGUCUCUGUGCCAAAAGCCUACCUUUUUUCUCCUGCACCAAAUGCAAUGAGUUCAGAAUAGCUGAUUAUGUUAGAGGAGAAAGAGCUCUGCAUUUUUUACUUUGCUUUUAAUAUACUUUCAGAGCAUUUCUUGAAUUGAAAUUAGAAAUUUUCGAUUCAUUAACAUUUCCAAAGAUUAUUUACUGGCAUCAGUUUAAGGCAGAACACAAAAAAAAGAAAAAUGACCUCUGCUUUUCAGUUACUUUUAGGGCAUGGAGGAAAGAGAAAUAAAUUUUACUUAAAAGUAUAUUUCUAGGGCACAGCUUGCCUGGCUUAUGAAGACAGCUGAAAAGGUUCUCACUUUGCUUGAGCUGAUGUGUUUGUGAAAGUCUUAUUUCUCCUCCCACCUCUUCUUUUCUUCUUCAGUGUCCAGUCUUGAAAACAAACUGACAGAUGUUCUCUUGGAUCAGCUUGUGAGACUUGCAAUGUCAGGAGUGCAAACAGACUUUUGCUGUUUAGUUCAGGAAAUGAGAUUCAGACAAUCUGAUAAAUAAACAGUGUUUAUUACUCCA
Parus major (Great Tit) is the source of this 8143-nucleotide long non-coding RNA. RefSeq lists it as uncharacterized. NCBI's taxonomy places the organism in Eukaryota, Metazoa, Chordata, Aves, Passeriformes, Paridae. The record is from RefSeq and is a predicted model, not a curated record. The transcript is spliced from 3 exons.